CUGAACCGCGCCCCGUCUCCUUUCUCAUUGGCGCUCGCAGCGGAUUCCUCGCCUUUGCGUCCCGCCCCCUUCCUGCUCCCGGCUUCCUGUGGCGUCUUCCGGAUAGCCCCACACCCCCGGCGCGGGAGAGGCUCGUGGAGGGAGAUGAUUGGAGGACCAAGACCCCCUUUCCUGAAUGGCGACUGGAACCCAGACCUUUCAGAACUACUUCUUCUGUGAUGUCUGUUCAGAUGGUGGACUUCCACGAAUGGGAAACAAGCUGCCUUUGCACCUGAACGACCGAGGAACCUGCUGCCAGCGCUCAGAAAGACUUGAACUUUGUUCUGCAAAGAUAGCUGGCAUCUUGGCUGCGGAGGAUUCACGCUCUUGCUCGACAGCGGAAAUAAAUUCUCCUGAAGGAAGUGGGCAGAGAAAUAUGCGGAUGCCGAGCUGCUGGCUGUAAAUCCAGGUGGCUGGCAACCUGAGCGCAGGGCUGGGCGCCAGCUGCGGUGGCAUUGCCCCCGGCACAGCGCUGCCAAGAUGCGCCUGGGAGGAAGAAAAGCCAGGAGAGCCCAAAGAAACCCCYGGAGCUGGCCUGUGGAAGGGCCUCCCUGGGAGCAGGGUCCCGGCUCRCGGCUCACGUGGGCUGCAAAUCCGCCCCAGAUCUGGGGACUCGUGGUCUGCAAACAAGCCAGGGCUGAUCAGCGAUCUCUCCCGCAGCAACGGGACCUGUCGGCAGCUGAAGUCCCCUCGGCUUUCGGUGCGUUUCGGUGCCUGUGAAAGCUUUCCCGUAGCGCAGGAUAAACGUUUUUCAGCGUAGCCUCCCRCACCCAAGGAACCCAGGCCCGCAGGGAAAUACGUCCUGAUGGAACAGGAGCGUUUGCCAGAACUGAAGACUUUCCAUGAGUCUCUCCUGUCCUUGCCRCAGUGACCCAGGACAGCGCUGGGUCCCCAGAACGGCGCCGGUCCYUCCUGCGAGCGCGGGGCAGCCACGAGUGGCACCGAGCUGGUGUGGCCGGGGCACGAGGCUGUUUCGCAGGGGGGCACCGGCCGAGCUGGCUGCAGCGGAGGACCCACGUGCAAGCGGGGAAGGGCAGGCCUGACGCGCAGGGGAGCGGGGGGGUCUGGAGGAGAAAC
Molecule: long non-coding RNA, 1116 nt
Filed under: Apteryx rowi (Okarito brown kiwi)
Lineage: Eukaryota; Metazoa; Chordata; Aves; Apterygiformes; Apterygidae
Description: lncRNA (ENSARWG00000007247.1)
Source: RNAcentral